This 253-nucleotide ribosomal RNA is filed under the name uncultured bacterium. RNAcentral's name for it is "partial 16S ribosomal RNA". It matches the Rfam family "Bacterial small subunit ribosomal RNA", at positions 524 to 776 of the family's 1533-position model. The record is from RNAcentral.
UACGGAGGAGGCAAGCGUUAUCCGGAAUUAUUGGGCGUAAAGCGUCCGUAGGUGGUUUGCCAAGUCUGCUGUCAAAGGGUGGGGCUUAACCUCAUAAAGGCAGUGGAAACUGGCGAGCUAGAGUGCGGUAGGGGUAGGGGGAAUUCCCAGUGUAGCGGUGAAAUGCGUAGAGAUUGGGAAGAACAUCGGUGGCGAAAGCGCCCUGCUUGGCCUGCACUGACACUGAGGGACGAAAGCUAGGGGAGCGAAAGUG